This 23-nucleotide microRNA is filed under the name Gallid alphaherpesvirus 2. Its description in RNAcentral is "mdv1-miR-M31". Its record names the gene mdv1-miR-M31. The record is from miRBase by way of RNAcentral. Lineage: Duplodnaviria; Heunggongvirae; Peploviricota; Herviviricetes; Herpesvirales; Orthoherpesviridae.
UGCUACAGUCGUGAGCAGAUCAA